Molecule: small nucleolar RNA, 80 nt
Organism: Chlorocebus sabaeus (green monkey)
Lineage: Eukaryota; Metazoa; Chordata; Mammalia; Primates; Cercopithecidae
Product: small nucleolar RNA SNORD115
Source: RefSeq, a predicted model, not a curated record
GGGUCAAUGAUGAGAACCUUAUAUGGUUCUGAAGGGGUGAUGACCCAAAGUCAUACUCCAAUAGGAAUUACACUGAGCCC